Long non-coding RNA from Sinocyclocheilus anshuiensis, 637 nucleotides. RefSeq lists it as uncharacterized. The transcript is spliced from 3 exons. NCBI's taxonomy places the organism in Eukaryota, Metazoa, Chordata, Actinopteri, Cypriniformes, Cyprinidae. The record is from RefSeq and is a predicted model, not a curated record.
ACAUGUUUGAUUUGUGAUUCAUUGCUUCUGUGUAGGAAUUUGAGCUUUCGUUUCAGUGAAUGUUUCCACUUGGAUUAUCUAAUACGAAAUGUGUUCAAAGAAUCACAUCACUGUAGGCUAUGGAUGUGUGUACACAGACUCAGAUGAGGUCUUCUGUCAGUCAGCAGCUCUUUUGAUCAUCGACGCCUCCUCAAACUCCCACAGCUACACAUAGAGCCGUGGAUAUGCUGAUAUGAUCACCCUGGCAACAUCACGAGCCACUGAGGACAAAAACACCAGAUCUGCUUGAAGACGCUGGUCUCUGUGAAAGUCAGUGCUGGCGCCCUUCAUCGUAUGGUAAUCAUCCUCGCUUGCAAAAAGGAGGGACGGCGGCCAAACAGGACUGGAUUUGAUCUGCGUCCAGGGCUCUACUGAUAACCCCAUCUAUCUUAGUUGAUUUGGCAAAAAGGGCCUCACUAAUGACACCAGAGGGGGUGGCAAACCCACCACCUUGACAGAUGUCCAAAUCACUGGUAAACAACAGAACACGGGUGAAAAGAAAUAAAUGACCGCUUCGAAUCGGCAGGGAGGUUGAAAAUGUCUGAAGACUCGCCAGGAGAGGAAGUUGAGCUUUGAUUGGAGCUGGAAACGGGGAAUA